ACGCUGCGGCGUGCUUAACACAUGCAAGUCGAACGUGAUUUUUAUGGAAAGCCCUUCGGGGAAGGAAAUGAAAUGAAAGUGGCGAACGGGUGAGUAACACGUGAGCAACCUACCUUACACAGGGGGAUAGCCGUUGGAAACGACGAUUAAUACCGCAUGAGACCACAGAAUCGCAUGAUAUAGGGGUCAAAGAUUUAUCGGUGUAAGAAGGGCUCGCGUCUGAUUAGCUAGUUGGAAGGGUAAAGGCCUACCAAGGCGACGAUCAGUAGCCGGUCUGAGAGGAUGAACGGCCACAUUGGAACUGAGACACGGUCCAAACUCCUACGGGGGGCAGCAGUGGGGAAUAUUGCACAAUGGGGGGAACCCUGAUGCAGCGACGCCGCGUGAGCGAAGAAGGUUUUCGAAUCGUAAAGCUCUGUCCUAUGAGAAGAUAAUGACGGUAUCAUAGGAGGAAGCCCCGGCUUAAUACGUGCCAGCAGCCGCGGU
RNAcentral lists this ribosomal RNA (486 nucleotides) under unidentified oral bacterium RP55-45. Its description in RNAcentral is "bacterial SSU rRNA". It matches the Rfam family "Bacterial small subunit ribosomal RNA", at positions 33 to 521 of the family's 1533-position model. The record is from RNAcentral.